UGCCAGCAGCCGCGGUAAUACGGAGGGUGCAAGCGUUAAUCGGAAUUACUGGGCGUAAAGCGCAUGCAGGCGGUUUGUUAAGCGAGAUGUGAAAGCCCCGGGCUCAACCUGGGAACUGCAUUUCGAACUGGCAAACUAGAGUUCUUGAGAGGGUGGUAGAAUUUCAGGUGUAGCGGUGAAAUGCGUAGAGAUCUGAAGGAAUACCAGUGGCGAAGGCGGCCACCUGGCAAGUAACUGACGCUCAGAUGCGAAAGCGUGGGUAGCAAACGGGAUUAGAUA
This 279-nucleotide ribosomal RNA is filed under the name uncultured bacterium. RNAcentral describes it as "partial 16S ribosomal RNA". It matches the Rfam family "Bacterial small subunit ribosomal RNA", at positions 506 to 784 of the family's 1533-position model. The record is from RNAcentral.